This 2695-nucleotide long non-coding RNA is filed under the name Panax ginseng (ginseng). RNAcentral's name for it is "long non-coding RNA (PGIN_LNC018705)". Lineage: Eukaryota; Viridiplantae; Streptophyta; Magnoliopsida; Apiales; Araliaceae. The record is from RNAcentral.
CUUGUGUGAGAUGGGUUCUCUAAUUCUGUAUUGAUAUAUUUGCAGGUAAAGAUGCAACAAAUGAUUUUGAAGAUGUUGGCCACAGUGAUAAUGCUAGAGAGAUGAUGGAGAAAUAUUACAUUGGUGAGAUAGACGCUGCAACUGUUCCUCUGAAACGCACCUAUGUUGCACCACAGCAAACCACCUACAAUCCCGACAAGACUCCAGAGUUUUUGAUUAAAAUUUUACAGUUUGUUGUUCCCCUCUUGAUCUUGGGCCUAGCCUUUGCAGUCCGAUUCUACACCAAAGAAAAGUAGUCGGUUAUAAAUUACCUCCAGGGUAAGAUGGAGGGCUGCGCUAAUUUAUCCAACCAAGUAGUUAGAAGAACGGUUUCUUGUUUUAGUUGUAUUGUAUUUGUGCACGCGGAAUUGGGACAUUAGUUCAUAAUGUGGCAACAGUGUAUCAUCAAUUACCGGGUUGUGUUAUUUUGUUUGAUGACAAUCAAGAGUCUUAUUGUUACAUUUCUAUUUGCCUGGUGGAGGGUCCAUUGGACCUCCUUCAAGAGUAACUUUAUAACAUCUCUUCUCUCUUAUGAUACGUUUUUAAUUUGGAAUGCUUAGGUAUGGAACAUACCAUCUCAACCUGUGCCAAAAGCAGGAAAAAUUUAUGCACUCGUGUUUUUAUUAAAGCCUUGUUGGUAUUUUAUGUUUGCAAGGAUAUUACUGCUUUCAAGGGAUUGUAAUUUAUAGAUAGUAUGUUUGUUUUGAAGGGAUUAUUGCGAAUAUGAAAAUUUUGGUCUAAACUUGUAAAUCUUGAAGUGGUCAUUUAAAGUCAUAUGAUGCUAUGAGAGAUGAUUCAGAAUACAAAUUUGGUGUCAAACAUAAACUAAAAGAUUAAAAUCUAAUUGCUCCGAUAAAACUAGCAAAACAAACAUACCUCUACCGUUAAAUUUCUGUCUAUGGCUAGAAGAACUGUGUUGACUAAAUCUUUUUUUCGAAGCCAUUCCUGUUUAUGCUACGCAGGAUAUUCCUGUUCCUUAUCAGAUUUGUUAUGAUAGGGAUAAAAUUGUUAGGAAUUUUUUAUGGGGUCAUUCUAUUACUUCUCAGAAAUGGCAUGUCUUCAAUGACUGGUAGGCAAAGGGGAUUCCAUCUCAUUUUGGUAUGACAAAUGGUGCGGAAGCCAAACUCUCAGAAGUUUGUUUAUGGUCGGUCCCCUUAGAUGCAAUAUUGAGCAGGCUGGACUUCCUUUAAGCUGAAUCAAAUUCAAAUGUAUGGAAUCUUGAUAUGCUUCAGUCUUCACUGUUUUUGUUAUGGUUUGUGAUUUUGAAGAGAGAAUCACCCCUAGAUGUGUGGUUUUAAUAUAAGUUGCACUCGUUUGUUCUAUAAAAAAAAAGAGAAAGAAGUAAACAUAGGAAAUACCGAUAACAUAACCAACUCAAGUUUAUCAUUAUAAUUUCAGUAUCAUUCCAUAAAUAUUAUACUCACACUCAAUAAUUGAAAUAUGUGCUUAAUUUUACGAAUGAAGCUCAUUUGUAGAAAACCACACAAAACAACAAUAUUAUUAUUAGCUUUUGCCUUUAGCCGUAUAAAUUAAGAAAUUGCAAAAUAGAUAAGCUGAAUUAAUACCACAAAAUUUAAGUUCCAACCAUUUUGCACUAUAUAUAGAUAUCUCUUGCAUUUCCUGCACAACAUUGGAGUGGGAUACAUAAUCACAACAUCAAAUGUAAUAAUUGACCAGGCCUCUCAUACCAGACUAAUUUCCAACAGACAAAUGCUCAAGCAAACCAGAUAAUCAAGAGCAAGGAUUAGAAAUGUAUUAUCAAAGUUUUGAUCUUUCAGUUCGUAUGGUACAAUGACUGGAAUAUGGCCCCACCCUAUGACAUGAGAGGAUCAAAUCUCUCUUUAAAUAUAAAUUUUGACACAUUGCCAUGUAAACAUCAUACCAGUAUAUAAAUCCAUAUGCUCGUGUGAAGCAUUUGGUUGAAGAGACAUUAAAGACUAGACCCCAAAUAAAUAAGGUCAAAUAACAGAAUCAAAGAUAAAUUAGUGAAUGAAAAUUUCCAGCUUAAGCUGUAUCAGAAAGGGGGUUCUCUAUCUUGUUAUGGAGGGUGACCACCAAAUCAUGUGCAUCAUCUAGGAGCUUCCANNNNNNNNNNNNNNNNNNNNNNNNNNNNNNNNNNNNNNNNNNNNNNNNNNNNNNNNNNNNNNNNNNNNNNNNNNNNNNNNNNNNNNNNNNNNNNNNNNNNCAUGUAGUUAGAAGAACGGUUUCUUGUUUUAGUUGUAUUGUAUUUGUGCACGCGGAAUUCGGACAUUAGUUCGUAAUGUGGUCUGUAGUCUCUUCUAUAAUUCUUGGAUGACUUCUGGCAACAGUGUAUCAUCAAUUACCGAGUUGUGUUAUUUUGUUUGAUGACAAUCAAGAGUCCUAUUGUUACAUUUCUAUUUUACCUAGUGGAGGGUCCUAUUGGCCCUCCUUCAAGAGUUACUUUAUAACAUCUCUCUUCUCUUAUGCUACGUUUUUAAUUUGGAAUGCUUAGGUAUGGAACAUACCAUCUCAUCCUGUGCCAAAAGCAGUAAAAAUUCAUGCACUCGUGUUUUUAUUAAAGCCUUGUUGGUAUUUUAUGUUUGCAAGGAUAUUACUGCUUUCAAGGGAUUGUAAUUUAUACAUAGUAUGUUUGUUUUGAAGGGGAAAUAUGAAAAUUUUGGUCUAAACUUGUAAA